GCAGAUGGGGCUGCAGAACCUGAUGGUGGGGAUGUGGAAGGCUGGGCUCCAGCCUAGCCCCGCAGUAUCCCCCACCCAGGCUGUCGCUGCUGGUGGAAGAGGAAGAAUCAUCUGCUGUUGCAGCAUAGAGAAGGCGACCAGAGCUAGUGGAAAGGCGGAGGUGCUGAUGCCGGGCACCCUCCUCCGGCUCCCCGGGGCGCUGGGUGUGCUUAAAGGAUCUUGGCAAUGAGUAGUAGGAGAGGACUGGCUUGUGCUGGGGGUCCUCAGGGCCGUAGUAGCAGUCGGAGGGGCUGCUGGUGUUGGAGUCCCCCACUGGUGACAUGUUC
Molecule: long non-coding RNA, 326 nt
Filed under: Homo sapiens (human)
Lineage: Eukaryota; Metazoa; Chordata; Mammalia; Primates; Hominidae
Description: HSALNT0048164
Source: RNAcentral